AUUGAACGCUGGCGGCAGGCCUAACACAUGCAAGUCGAACGCAGUGGGGACGGGUGAGUAACACGUGGGUAACCUCCCAUCAGAGGGGAUAACACUUGGAAACAGGUGCUAAACCGAUACUGAUGGAUGGACCCGAGGUGCAUUAGCUCGUUGGUGAGGUAACGGCUCACCAAGGCGCCGAUGCAUAGCGGACCUGAGAGGGUGAUCGGCCACCGUGGGAUUGAGACACGGCCCAGACUCCUACGGGAGGCAGCAGUAGGGAUUCUUCGGCAAUGGACGAAAGUCUGACCGAGCAACGCCGCGUGAGUGAUGAAGGUUUUCGGAUCGUAAAACUCUGUUGUUAGAGAAGCGGUAUCUAACCAGAAAGCCACGGCUAACUACGUGCCAGCAGCCGCGGUAAUAC
RNAcentral lists this ribosomal RNA (403 nucleotides) under uncultured bacterium. RNAcentral's name for it is "partial 16S ribosomal RNA". It matches the Rfam family "Bacterial small subunit ribosomal RNA", at positions 30 to 526 of the family's 1533-position model. The record is from RNAcentral.